GGGCGAUUAGCUCAAUAGGUAGAGCAUCUCGCUUACAACGAGCAGGUUAGUGGUUCAAAUCCGCUAUUGCCCA
Molecule: transfer RNA, 73 nt
Filed under: Candelaria pacifica
Lineage: Eukaryota; Fungi; Ascomycota; Candelariomycetes; Candelariales; Candelariaceae
Also listed under: 1 other name
Description: tRNA-Val
Rfam family: tRNA
About the family: Transfer RNA (tRNA) molecules are approximately 80 nucleotides in length.
Source: RNAcentral